This 220-nucleotide long non-coding RNA is filed under the name Panax ginseng (ginseng). Its description in RNAcentral is "long non-coding RNA (PGIN_LNC007603)". The record is from RNAcentral. Lineage: Eukaryota; Viridiplantae; Streptophyta; Magnoliopsida; Apiales; Araliaceae.
CAGAACUCCUCAAGACCAUAAAAGGUCAUACCCAGGCCUGUUUAGAUGUUAUACCUCAGAGCCUUCCAGCAUCAACAUCAGUAAAUCCUUUUGUUAAAAUUCAAACAGACUUAAAACAAAAGUUUCCAAACUUAACUGAAACAGAACUCUUAGUUAAAACUAUGGAUUAUAUGAAGACACAAUUCUUACAAUCCUUAGUCCCGGAUGAUGCCUCCAUGAA